UGAGGAAUAUUGGUCAAUGGACGAGAGUCUGAACCAGCCAAGUAGCGUGAAGGAUGACUGCCCUAUGGGUUGUAAACUUCUUUUAUACGGGAAUAAAGUUAGCCACGUGUGGCUUUUUGUAUGUACCGUAUGAAUAAGGAUCGGCUAACUCCGUGCCAGCAGCCGCGGUAAUACGGAGGAUCCGAGCGUUAUCCGGAUUUAUUGGGUUUAAAGGGAGCGUAGGCGGGUUGUUAAGUCAGUUGUGAAAGUUUGCGGCUCAACCGUAAAAUUGCAGUUGAUACUGGCGACCUUGAGUGCAACAGAGGUAGGCGGAAUUCGUGGUGUAGCGGUGAAAUGCUUAGAUAUCACGAAGAACUCCGAUUGCGAAGGCAGCUUACUGGAUUGUAACUGACGCUGAUGCUCGAAAGUGUGGGUAUCAAACAGGAUUAGAUACCCUGGUAGUCCACACAGUAAACGAUGAAUACUCGCUGUUGGCGAUAUACGGUCAGCGGCCAAGCGAAAGCAUUAAGUAUUCCACCUGGGGAGUACGCCGGCAACGGUGAAACUCAAAGGAAUUGACGGGGGCCCGCACAAGCGGAGGAACAUGUGGUUUAAUUCGAUGAUACGCGAGGAACCUUACCCGGGCUUAAAUUGCAACUGACUGAACCGGAAACGGUUCUUUCUUCGGACAGUUGUGAAGGUGCUGCAUGGUUGUCGUCAGCUCGUGCCGUGAGGUGUCGGCUUAAGUGCCAUAACGAGCGCAACCCUUAUCGAUAGUUACUAGCAGGUCAUGCUGAGGACUCUAUUGAGACUGCCGUCGUAAGAUGUGAGGAAGGUGGAGAUGACGUCAAAUCAGCACGGCCCUUACGUCCGGGGCUACACACGUGUUACAAUGGGGGGUACAGGAGGCAGCUACACGGCGACGUGGUGCUAAUCCCGAAAGCCUCUCUCAGUUCGGAUUGGAGUCUGCAACCCGACUCCAUGAAGCUGGAUUCGCUAGUAAUCGCGCAUCAGCCACGGCGCGGUGAAUACGUUCCC
Molecule: ribosomal RNA, 1017 nt
Filed under: uncultured organism
Description: bacterial SSU rRNA
Rfam family: Bacterial small subunit ribosomal RNA
Source: RNAcentral